GGUGAGGGGAGCAGUGGGCAGCAGCGGUGGCAGCACCCAGGAUGUGAAGACUGUGUGGCAUAACGACGCUGGAUUUUUUUCCUCCGAGGAUGCGUCGGGCAAAAACACAGUUUGAGGUCAUCGAUGGUCAGGGUGGAUAAUGGAUGAGUGUGAAGAGUGGCUGAUAGGACCAUCCAAGGCAAAUGAGACCCUCAGGCUUUUCUGCACCCUGGGACUACGCGAACAACCGGAACCAUGCACCACCGGGACAGAAGAAGG
This is a long non-coding RNA of Nerophis ophidion (straightnose pipefish), 258 nucleotides long. RefSeq lists it as uncharacterized. NCBI's taxonomy places the organism in Eukaryota, Metazoa, Chordata, Actinopteri, Syngnathiformes, Syngnathidae. The transcript is spliced from 3 exons. The record is from RefSeq and is a predicted model, not a curated record.